Spodoptera frugiperda (fall armyworm) is the source of this 386-nucleotide long non-coding RNA. RefSeq lists it as uncharacterized. The transcript has 2 exons. The record is from RefSeq and is a predicted model, not a curated record. Lineage: Eukaryota; Metazoa; Arthropoda; Insecta; Lepidoptera; Noctuidae.
CCCAGUUGAAUUCCGAACCUCCUUGGCCGUAAUCAGUCAAUAAUGGAAGUAAAAUCCAUAUUUGUAUUCCUUUUAACGAUUGGCGUAGUUAAUAUGGAGUUUUAUUUACCACCACCCUAUUUUGCCACGCCGCCCUAUUUUGCGCUGAUGUUACCAUCAGCUCCGGAUUUAUCAGCUCCGAAUUUCUCAGCUCCGGAUUUAUCAGCUCCGAAACCAUUAGCUCCGCAAGAAUCAGCACUACCGUCGAGCCCGAAUCAAUACUUGCCUCCACCACGAGGGCCAUUUGUCAAUGACACAACUGUAACCUAUGCCGCCCCAAUCCUACCAUCAUCACAAGUAGUUCGGUUAUACAACAAAAAGUUUACUUAAAUAAACAAUUUCCUAGA